GAUGAACGCUGACAGAAUGCUUAACACAUGCAAGUCUACUUGAACUUCGGUUUGGGUGGCGGACGGGUGAGUAACGCGUAAAGAACUUGCCUCACAGUUAGGGACAACAUUUGGAAACGAAUGCUAAUACCUGAUAUUAUGAUUUUAGGGCAUCCUAAGAUUAUGAAAGCUAUAUGUGCUGUGAGAGAGCUUUGCGUCCCAUUAGCUAGUUGGAGAGGUAACGGCUCACCAAGGCGAUGAUGGGUAGCCGGCCUGAGAGGGUGAACGGCCACAAGGGGACUGAGACACGGCCCUUACUCCUACGGGAGGCAGCAGUGGGGAAUAUUGGACAAUGGACCAAAAGUCUGAUCCAGCAAUUCUGUGUGCACGAUGACGUUUUUCGGAAUGUAAAGUGCUUUCAGUUGGGAAGAAAAAAAUGACGGUACCAACAGAAGAAGUGACGGCUAAAUACGUGCCAGCAGCCGCGGUAAUACGUAUGUCACAAGCGUUAUCCGGAUUUAUUGGGCGUAAAGCGCGUCUAGGUGGUUAUGUAAGUCUGAUGUGAAAAUGCAGGGCUCAACUCUGUAUUGCGUUGGAAACUGCAUGACUAGAGUACUGGAGAGGUAAGCGGAACUACAAGUGUAGAGGUGAAAUUCGUAGAUAUUUGUAGGAAUGCCGAUGGGGAAGCCAGCUUACUGGACAGAUACUGACGCUAAAGCGCGAAAGCGUGGGUAGCAAACAGG
This 722-nucleotide ribosomal RNA is filed under the name uncultured Fusobacterium sp. RNAcentral describes it as "bacterial SSU rRNA". It matches the Rfam family "Bacterial small subunit ribosomal RNA", at positions 28 to 776 of the family's 1533-position model. The record is from RNAcentral. Lineage: Bacteria; Fusobacteriati; Fusobacteriota; Fusobacteriia; Fusobacteriales; Fusobacteriaceae.